UAGAAUUUAUGGAAGAUGUCAUGUUCACCGCACUCAGAACUACAUCCACAGGGCAAAAGCAAUAUAAAUUUGCAUACACUGGCCCACCAACAUAUUAUAAUACUGUUCUAGGGGUACUGCCUCUAUAGUUGAGAAGGUAGUUCAGUCUUCAUGUUCAUUCAGUCUUUGGCCUCU
Molecule: small RNA, 174 nt
Filed under: Chrysemys picta bellii (western painted turtle)
Lineage: Eukaryota; Metazoa; Chordata; Testudines; Emydidae
Description: TUC338 (ENSCPBG00000018048.1)
Source: RNAcentral